AUGGCGGGUGUUGGAAGGGGGAUGGGGCGGGGCAGUGGCGAUGGCGAUGGCGGGUUGCGAACAGUGGGGGUCGUCGCCGGCGUCCAUAUCCCAUUCCCAGAUCAAGAGGCUAUUCUCGCGUAUCAUGGGAGAGGUCAUGGCAGCGGCAGUGCAACUAUCCCCGUCGGCCGUUCAUCGGGAGGACAAGCAACGGGAUUUCUGGAUGACAUCAACCGAAGCGGAUUUGCCACCGGGGUGGCUCGUCAGGGUGGCAUAAGCAGAGGCCCGGAGGUUCCACUGCCGAUUAAAGAACCAACUAAAGGUAAUGCAAAUGAUGUAACAAACAUAUGGUGUCAUGGGAAAUCAUUGGAAGGACAAGCAUGGGAGUGUGGAUAUUGUGCUUUACUUAGACAUGGUGGGGGUGCAACCCGAUUCAAGCAGCAUAUAGCUGGAUUGGGCCCUCAUGUCUUCUCUUGCAUGAAUGCACCUCAUCAUGUAGUUGCCAUUUUUCGGAAAGCCAUUCCAGAGGGAGAGGCCCGAAGGAGGACUUCCAAAGAAGGAAAGAAAAGAGUGGUAGAUGAGGUCAAUCAUAUAAACAGUCAAGGUGCAUCAAUACAUAUUGAUUGUGAAGAUGAAGAUGAUGAGAUACUCCAGCAGACCCUACGAAAUUCAUUACGUGGAGAUCAUGGGAGAACCAGCGUUGUUAAAGGAAGUGUAGGGAGCAGCUCAAGUGGUGUCAAAGACUUUUUUGACGUUGAUUUGGCAUAUAGCAAGACUAGGCCACAACAGACAAUGGAGGCGUGUAUUAACAAGGUGGAAUACGAAUCUAGGAUUGGGAAGGCUUGGGCAAAAUGGUUUCAUGCUAAUGACAUCCCUGGGCACAUGCAAAAUUCAAAGUUUGUGUAUGAGCACAUCAAAGAAGUGAUUGAAGAGAUAGGGCAGCAACAUGUUGUCCAACUCGUGACCGACAAUGGCUCUAACUUCAAGAAAGCAUGUCUUGACCUUGUUGCAGAUUUCCCACACAUCACAUGGCAGCCAUGUGUAGCUCACACCAUUAACCUCAUGCUGAAGGAGAUGGGAUGCUUUCCUGAGAUUAAUGAAGUGAAGCACAUAGGUGGAGAGUUGGUGCGACCGAAUGCCACAAGGUUUGGAACUAACUUUAUGUUCCUAGAAAGCUUUUGGGAUAAGCAAGAGAAAUUCCAAGUGUGGAUGACAUCUCCAGAGUGGAAAAAUAGCUCAUGGAGUUCCGAGGUUGAUUAUGACUACACAUAUGAUUGUUUGAUAAGUAGGACCUGGUGGAAUGGUGUGAAGCGGGUGCUGGAUUUAAUUGGCCCAAUAUAUAGCAUACUUCGAUAUGCUGAUUCACAAAAGCUUGGGUCACUUUCUGGCUUUAUGACAAAGAUGAUGCAUGCUAGGCAUCAAUUGAGUUCAUUGUUUUCUCAUGAUUCUCUAGACCAACACGAGUACCUAAAUGUGGUUGACAAAAGGGUUGAGCAUUUAUACAAAAACACAUUGAUGGUUGCAGCCGGUGUUCUGGACCCGGCAAGUCACUACAAGUAUAACUUUGGAAAAAGUCUAUCACACAUGAGGGCACUCAAUGCAGCACUUAAGAAGUUGGCUAGUCCUUCAGAGUUCAUUGCUAUGAUUCCUGAAGUUCACUCUUAUGUCAAUACAAGAGGGGCUUUUGAAGGCAUGUACCCUCGUAGUGCAGCUGAAAAGGUGUCCCCAACUGAGUGGUGGAUAACAUUUGGAGAUACUACACCGGUGCUUCAAAAGUAUGCUAUUCAGAUUGUUUCUCAAUGCACCUCUUCAAGCGGUUGUGAGCGGAAUUGGAGCACAUACGCUUUAGUGCAUACACUAGUGAGGAACCGUCUUGGUUUUGAAAAGUUGCACAAGAUGGUUUUUUGCCACUACAACCUUGGGCUGCGAAUCCGACUAAUUCUUGGUGAGACAAAAGAGAAAGAGGUUGAUACUUGUGCGUUGUUGAUGAAUACCUCUCUCUAUGAUUGUAACAACGAAAUCAUGGAUUGGCUGGGCAACUCAACAAGUGAUUCCAUGCAAGAUGAGGAUGCGUAUGAUGGUGAUGGUGAUUGUCCAGUGGUCGUAGAGGUGGGACAAAAGAGAACUAGAGGAAGUGGGAUGCCUCCAAGUGAGGAGGAAGAGGAGGAAGAGGAGGCAGAGGAUGUAGAUGAUGGGGAGGAUGAUGAAGGUAACAAUGACGUGCUGCCUAACGAAAACAGUGAACCUCUGCGGAAGUCUACAAGGAAAAGGAGGAAGAGGAAGGUGCUUUCUGAUAGCUCCUCCUUCUCCAUUGUCAGCAGGGUCUUGGCUGCAGUUCUGCAGUUCUACUAUAGGUCCCCCCUCCCCCCUCUCUCUCUGACCACUGAUCCACCCGUGUCAUCGUGGAAUUGCAGGAGAGAACCUAUUGUGUUGGGCUCAGACGGUGCUGGCCGGGCGGACAGGCUCAAUGCUUCCUCUGCAGGCUACCCUGACAAUGAUUACUUUUUCUAUUCAGCCAACCGGAGAUUUAUUAUUUUGAAGCUUGUUAAGGAUAUAGAUGAUGAUGCAAUUGUUGAAGUAUGGUUGGUUUUACGGUUUGCUGCCCUUCGUUUGGUUCUUGGUCUUUCGUCGCCUCGUGGUGUUGGUCUUCUGCUUCCAAUGGCUAGGAUAUGGUGUUUCUACUUCUUUCUAGGGUGUUUGUCGUUGGUCCUGGCCUCCUGGAUAGAUGGUUGUGGAUCUGAUAUGUUUGGCCAAUACUUCGUCCAGAAAAAAAAAUGGUCGCACCAUGGAACACCUUGUUGUUUAUAUAGGAUGUGGUACAAGCCUGAAUUUGUGUUCUCUUCUGAUAGAUAUGGCAUUACCAGUAGUGGGAAACCACAUUGUCUCUACUUCAGAUGGGUGUUGUUUGGUUAUAUGACUUGGUACUAUGGUCAUAUGUGGUUUGGUCUGAGUGUGGCUGAGCCGUCGGCGUCGCGUUGUGGUGUUGCCGCCCGCAUAAGCAAGCUACAUGGCGUCGAGAAGAAACCGCCUUUGAUUGGUCUUUUACAACUGUUGCUCCUUGCUAUCAUGUUUGAAAAUUUCACUGCAAUACAUCGACAGGGCGCGGCGUGCCGCCGCCCGGUCAUGGCUAACCUUAUUCUGCACAUCAACCGGCUUAUUCUCAUAACACUCCUCCGUCCCCGUCCGGAACCACAUCCACCACCCACCAUCCCACCCCCACCGCACCCACCCCCGCGCUACCCACCUUCUUCCCCACACAUCCAACGACCCAACCUCCCUGACACAUAUCACCACCUUCGCCCCCAAUCCCCUCCCGCACCAUCCACGGGUCCACCUGUACUUCCUACGCCGCCGGCAGCAGUUCCACCCGGCGAUCCCCUCGACCUUCCUCCGACACGGGGCGUUGCCGCCUUGACCAACCCAAAGCAGCCACACUCCUUCACCCCUGGAUCCCGUUGCCUGCCACCUGCAGAUCCAGCGAUCCUGGGUGCCGUGUCCCACCCACCACCGCCCCCCGUGCGUAUCCGCCAUCCGCACGAUGAGCUCGGGCACCACGCGCCGUCGUGCCGCGACCAACUACCCAACCGCGAUGCAACGGUCGCCGCCGUCCCACACGCACAGUCGCGCUCACCCAGGCGUCGCAGCAAGCCUGCCGACGGACCACCUCGCCUGGAUCCCGCGUGCCCCUGGUCCACAACAUCUACCAUCCACCACGGCGGCCCAACCCACCACCUUCCUCUAGCGUCGCCACCUGAUUCCCGCCGGGGCGAUGUGGAAUCUGUGGAUCCGGGGUUAGGGGAGGUUUGGCCGGCGCCGCUGGCCGGGCUGAUCUCUAGCAGGAGCACGACCAGCGUGCAUGUGGAGGGAGGCCCUGCUUGCAGUGCCCACCUCCCGCCGCUGCAGUGCGUGGCCGUCCACAAAUGUGCGGCAGUGCGUGCUUGCAUACAAGUGCGUCCAAUUAGGAAUUGCAAUCCACAGCUGCUCUGCCUGUGCAGUUCGCAAAGCACUUGCGUGCAGAAAAUUUUGGCGGCGCGACUUUCUCUUGGUCUCCCCUUCUGCAGGUCCUGUCGCAUUCCAACAGCCACCCUCUCUCAAUCCAGUACCAUGGCUGCCGGAUCUGGCCCAACCACUAGGAGGAUGAUGAGCGAGUCCCAGGCAGUUACCACUGAAGUUGGGCGGCAUGCGACCUUGCAGUACGACGCGACAACAAAAACUUCUUCGGUGAGGACUUGCAGCUCACCAGCGAGCGUCUUGCGGUUGGCACUACACCGGCAUGCAGUCCACUACCACUUGCAGUUGGCACAACGCGGUCGGCAUCCAAAGCCCAUGGGGUUUGCUCGGCUGAUACUCCACCACUCGAGCAGCAUGACCAUGGUGAUGCAGUGCACCGCGACUCCAGCGUGCAGUGCAGUGGGUGUGUGCCCUCCUCGAGUACUCCUCGACUCCAUGUUCUUCGUCGAAGACAUGCAGCUCGUCCGCGAGUGGCUCAUGGUUCAGGCAGCACGGUGCGUGCAGUCCACUACUUGA
Molecule: ribosomal RNA, 4506 nt
Filed under: Triticum aestivum (bread wheat)
Lineage: Eukaryota; Viridiplantae; Streptophyta; Magnoliopsida; Poales; Poaceae
Description: partial small subunit ribosomal RNA
Source: RNAcentral